Antechinus flavipes (yellow-footed antechinus) is the source of this 769-nucleotide long non-coding RNA. RefSeq lists it as uncharacterized. Lineage: Eukaryota; Metazoa; Chordata; Mammalia; Dasyuromorphia; Dasyuridae. The record is from RefSeq and is a predicted model, not a curated record. The transcript is spliced from 3 exons.
CUUCCAUCCAUCCUAGUGCAAAGAAGCAGGCUUUUUACUCGUCACCAAGAGGACAGAUCUCGGAAGGAAGAGUCAAAAAGAAUAAAAAGGGGAACACUCCAGGUGAUCAGAUUUCUUGCUGUGAGAUCCUCUUCUGCAAUGAUUCUCCUUUGUCAUGUCUAUUGGAAUGCUGGAAAGAGGCCAUCAUUGGAUAAUCUACUUCAACAAGCUCAUUUAUCACAUUUUUUACUGAACUCAUAGAUUUUGAUCCCCCACAAGCUGCAGACCGCCCACCCGCCUGCCUAACAAGUUUAUCAAGUGUUUUAAAUAGAAAAUAAAGACAAAGAUAGUAGAGAUAGCCUUGAAGAGGCUAAUUUGCUGAAACCAGAAGAUGGUAGAAGAUAGUAACUUGGCAAACAAGAGAGAGACUACAGAACACAUCCAGAGAGACGAUUUGAAAGUGAAAAUGUGAUAUACAGCACAGAAACAUGGUACCUAUCAGAAAGCUGUCACCACCAAAUGACAUUUGUACUUUUCAGUGUUGAAGUGGGAAUUGUUCUAGCUAUGCAUGAGUCCCUAAUAUAUGGAUCCCUAUUAAUGUAUUUCUUGCAAGUUUCUUGGCUGUGUAUUUUGGGUACUACCCCCAUCAUCUGUUCUUUCCACAUGUGUAGAAGUAUAUACUCUAUGUGUACUUGAGAGGGCUUUUUCUUGCCUUAUGUUGCUUGAUUAAAUGUCUUGUUUUGAGCUAAUGUAUCUGCCUAUCUGGAAAAAUAAAUGCAUGAAUGAAGAA